This is a long non-coding RNA of Hyalella azteca, 2752 nucleotides long. RefSeq lists it as uncharacterized. Lineage: Eukaryota; Metazoa; Arthropoda; Malacostraca; Amphipoda; Hyalellidae. The record is from RefSeq and is a predicted model, not a curated record. The transcript has 4 exons.
AGUCCCUCUUCGGGCGCUUAUCCGCACGGAUCAACCCACGCUGGCCCCUGGCCAGAACCUGACGCUGACUUGCGAAGUGGUGGGACAACCACCGCCGUCCAUCACCUGGUACAAGGACAGCCAACCACUGCAAGCUACCGACCGGGUCCUGCUGAGCCAAGGGGAGACCGUCCACCUGCUGACCAUCGUGUCCGUGACGAAGGAGGACAGUGGCCAAUACUCUUGUGCAGCCCUCAACCUGUACGGCAGCGCGUCUAGCAGUACUGACGUCAACGUCGAGGGCAUCUUAGUUGACCCCAGCUGCUUGGACAACUUCUUCUUCGCGAACUGCGAACUGAUCGUGCGAGCGCAGUACUGCAAUAACAGCUACUACGCCCGCUUCUGCUGCAGAUCUUGUACGCUGGCAGGACAACUUCCUUACCAAGGACCUCACCUGCAGCAGCAGGGUUAAGCCUCGCAGCAAUCCUACCUUAUCAGGCUCUACCAGCAGCAGGGUUGAGCCUUGCAGCAAUCCUACCUUAUCAGGGCUGCUGGGAUAUGUCGUGCAGCAUUUCUGAUUAACCAGGAGCUCUACAUGCACUGCUCCUGCCCUAACGGUUCUGCACCAGCUAUGGGUUUAAACCCUGCAACUCACCUGCUUUACCAGCGGCAUGGUUAAGACCUGAAGUUUUUCUGCAGGUCUAGGACCUCACCGGCAGCAUGGCUAGGUUAAACUCAAGUACCAGCAAUAGUAUUAAUUUGUACAUAAAUGUUUGCGUUUGUCGGGCGGCCUGGAUAUUCACUACUAAGGGUUCGUUGAAUCUCUUGAGCCAUUUUUUGUCUCAUCUUAACUCAUCCCUUAGUGCAACGUGCGACUAGAUCUCAAGGAAUCUAGUGCCAGAGUUGAUUUGUGCUUCCGUCAGUUGGUGUUAAUAGUGCCUGAGCUCUUUAGGUGCUUCUGUCAUCUAGUGUCCGAGUUCUUUAGGUGCCUCUGUCAUCUGGUGUCCGAGCUCUUUAGUUGCCUCUUUCAUCUAGCUUCAGAGCUCUUUAGGUGCCUAAGUGCAGGCGACAUGCCAUGCUACUUUAAGCCCUUCGUUGUAUGGCUCUAAUUCUGUUCCCAAGUCAACAGACAACCAUGGUCAGCAGUCAGUGUCAGCAGACAUCAAUGGUCAGUAAUCAGUGUAAGUGGACGAUUGCUAGCCUCAGCAACUUUAGACUAUCUUGACAGAUCUUGUAUCAAUCGAAUAGUCUUGGUUGCAAAGGUCGACGUUGCAGAUGAAAUAAAGUGAAUCAUCAAAUCUUCAAAUACCUGUACAACUAACACAAUCAAACUAACAACACUCACAUGUGCGCAGGUUUAAACUUAAAUAAAUAAUAGGCCUAAAUAAGAUGAAGACUAGGCCUAACUUAGGUGCCAUAAGCUGCGCUUCUGAAGUGCCUUUACUGCCAAACUUUCGCGACUUAUUUUGCUUAGAGCUUUUAAUGUUAGUUGUAUCUUUUUAAGGUUUAGAAAUAACUCAUAAUCUUUAGUUAUAAUUCCUAAGAUGUAACUCAUAAGCUGUAGUGCUUCCUUUUCAAGAUAGUUCCCAUACUCUCCAUUUUUCACUAUUCCUUCGCCAUACCUCGGUAAGAUCGCGCCGGAGAUUGAAAUGCCUGUUGAAGAAAAGUACAUAGCUUUGACCUUAGCGUGCGGUAGUCAUGCGUGAUAACCUUGUCCAGACUUGUAGUGUAUGGAUGGCAAGUUAACCUUGUCCGUAGCGUGCAGGGUACGGACGGCUAGUUAACCUUGACCGUAACGUGCAGGUUACGGACGGCUAGUUAACCUUGUCCGUAACGUGCAGGGUACGGACGGCUAGUUAGCCUUGCUCGUAACGUGCAGGGUAUGGAUGGCUAGUUAACCUUGUCCUUAACGUGCAGGGUAUGGAUGGCUAGUUAACCUUGUCCGUAACGUGCCGGGUAUGGUUGGCUAGUUAACCUUGUCCGUAGCGUGCAGGGGUAUGGAUAGCUAGUUAACCUUGUCCGUAACAUGCAGGAUUUGUAUGGCUAGUUAACCUUGUCCGUAACGUGCAGGGUAUGGAUAGCUAGUUAAAAUUGUCCAUAACGUGUAGGGUAUGGAUGGCUAGCAAAUCUGCAAGCCUAUUUCGAUGAACUUUCUCUAAUGACUUUAGUUACAUCGUCUUCUCAUACGUGAAACUCGUUGAUGAUUCGCAACAGCCAAACAACAACAAACUUGAACAUUCACUUUAAUCCCUGAAAAACAUCUUCAUAUCCUGUUUUUAUUCAGUCCACGGUCUCACCUCAUACUGACUGGUACUUUCAUUCCAAUGAAACUGUCAUCCUAUUCACAUGCACAAAUGGAACUGUCAUAAUUUUGAAAUUUGAUAUAAUGUGCCAUCGCUCAUUUUUAUUAUUUAUGCAAUUUUUUAUUUGGAAUGAUUGUAAUGCUUCUGUAGCUUGCAUCGUAGUUUAGUGCAGAAUAACCUCUCUACCAAUAACCUCUGUAUCUACCAAACCCGUACUCAGUUUUGCUCCGCUCUAUUUCACCACGUAGGCAUUCUCAUUGUUGGUUCAUUUUUAUCUAUGUCAUCAAUCGGAAAAAUGUUGUCCAAAAUAUUUGUCGAGAAUGAUUGUUGAAAUGUUUUCAUUAAUCGCAUUCAUGCAGUUUGGCAUUUAAUGUAGUAUUUCUAUUUUAUCAACUAUUUGCUUGACUGACCACCUUCAGAGGGACCAAUUUCAUGAUUGCUACAAAAAGUAAUAGAGCUCAUUUCUUUUA